Molecule: ribosomal RNA, 383 nt
Filed under: Rana kunyuensis
Lineage: Eukaryota; Metazoa; Chordata; Amphibia; Anura; Ranidae
Description: partial 12S ribosomal RNA
Source: RNAcentral
UUAUUAUCAGUUGUUUCCCAACUUACACAUGCAAGUCUCAGCACACCCGUGAGGACGCCCUUUCAACCUACAUCAGGUAAAGGAGCUGGUAUCAGGCGCAGACUCUUGCCCACAACACCUAGUUUCACCACACCCACAAGGGUACUCAGCAGUGAUUAAUUUUGUCUAUAAGCGACAGCUUGACCCAGUCAGGGAAAACAGGGCCGGCUAACACGGUGCCAGCCGCCGCGGCUACACCGCGGGCUCAAAUUGAUAAUUACCGGCGUUAAGCGUGAUUAAAGUUCUUAGAAACUAGGAUUAAAUUAACACUUAGUAGUUUUAUGCUUGUUGUUAAGAAAACCAUAAACGAAAGUUAUCCUAUCUUAUCUUGAAUACACGACAGC